UCGUGGCAAAAAGACCCCGUGUCACGGUUCUCGUGUUUCUGGAGCAGCGGCCACGCUUCUCGCCUCCCACUCGACACGGACGGCCGUGUUUUCGUCUCUCGCCGCCGCACUCACGACGUCUCACCGCCGCAACACGCCCGCAGCUCAACUCACCACGUCUUACCUUCCGCCGCCCUGUGCGUGUGUUCGACGUUCGUCCUUGAGAAUGUUCCAGAAGCAGCGGCGAGACUCCGCCAACGACCGACCUGUACAAAAAUGAGCGUCACAUGACGGAAAGUGAAGCUUUCCUAUGGAUCAGAGCGGUCAAGCGAACAUGGAUCCCGACCAAAUGUCGACUAGCAGUUUUCGGUGAGAAAAUUGUGGUAAAAAGUCGCCACUUACCGGAGAUCAGCUGAGCUUGUGCCGUCCAUACUGCUGCCGUCGACUUCCAUCAGACACUGGCCUCAAGACAACCGUGGACAAACCCCUCCGACUAUCAGACUACCAUCAAACCGCUUCCUGACCGUCUCUUCAUAAUUUUUUUCCCUUGGCCAGAGUCUGCACCCCCUCUCCAGGGCCCAGGCUAAGACCGAUUUUUUAAUUUUAUUUUAAUCUUCUAUUUUUAUCUCCCAUCCAACGCCCCCUCCUUGUUUACCUGUAUCUCAUCUUUUUUGUAAGGGGCGCUGGAAGCCGGCAGACCCGUCAGCGAUCCUGUUCUGUCUCCCUGUAAUAUUUGUCUGAUCUUGAAUGGGAUUGUGCUGAAAAUUUUAAUUUUCCUGAAGGAACUCUCCUGACGGAAUAAAUAAAGUACUAUCUAAUCUAUCU
Long non-coding RNA from Nerophis ophidion (straightnose pipefish), 804 nucleotides. RefSeq lists it as uncharacterized. The transcript is spliced from 3 exons. NCBI's taxonomy places the organism in Eukaryota, Metazoa, Chordata, Actinopteri, Syngnathiformes, Syngnathidae. The record is from RefSeq and is a predicted model, not a curated record.